This 542-nucleotide ribosomal RNA is filed under the name uncultured Gram-positive bacterium. RNAcentral describes it as "bacterial SSU rRNA". It matches the Rfam family "Bacterial small subunit ribosomal RNA", at positions 8 to 521 of the family's 1533-position model. The record is from RNAcentral.
AGAGUUUGAUCCUGGCUCAGGACGAACGCUGGCGGCGUGCUUAACACAUGCAAGUCGUACGAGACGAUUGAAAGCUUGCUUUUGAAAGUCGAGUGGCAAACGGGUGAGUAACGCGUAGACGACCUGCCGUAAAGAUGGGGACAACAGUUCGAAAGGACUGCUAAUACCGAAUGUUGUAGAGUUUCCGCAUGGGGAUCCUACUAAAGAUGGCCUCUACUUGUAAGCUAUCGCUUUACGAUGGGUCUGCGUCUGAUUAGCUAGUUGGUGGGGUAACGGCCUACCAAGGCGACGAUCAGUAGCCGGUCUGAGAGGAUGAACGGCCACAUUGGAACUGAGACACGGUCCAGACUCCUACGGGAGGCAGCAGUGGGGAAUCUUCCGCAAUGGGCGCAAGCCUGACGGAGCAACGCCGCGUGAGUGAAGAAGGGUUUCGACUCGUAAAGCUCUGUUGUCGGGGACGAAUGUGGAGAUGGUGAAUAACCAUUUCCAAUGACGGUACCUGACGAGGAAGCCACGGCUAACUACGUGCCAGCAGCCGCGGU